AGUUUUAUUAAAAACACCUAAUCUAGGCAAAAACCAAUGGGGGUUUAGUUAUAACAAAACCCCUAUUGUUUUUUGCCUAGAUUAGGAUUCGGAU
Molecule: non-coding RNA, 94 nt
Organism: Pelobates cultripes (western spadefoot toad)
Lineage: Eukaryota; Metazoa; Chordata; Amphibia; Anura; Pelobatidae
Source: the annotation of a GenBank genome assembly